UAAGACGUAGGGCGCGAGCGUUGUCCGGAUUUAUUGGGCGUAAAGAGCUCGUAGGCGGCUUGUCGCGUCGACUGUGAAAUCUCAGGGCUCAACUCUGACAUUGCAGUCGAUACGGGCAGGCUAGAGUUCGGUAGGGGAGACUGGAAUUCCUGGUGUAGCGGUGAAAUGCGCAGAUAUCAGGAGGAACACCGAUGGCGAAGGCAGGUCUCUGGGCCGAUACUGACGCUGAGGAGCGAAAGCGUGGGGAGCGAACAGGAUUAGAUACCCUGGUAGUCCACGCUGUAAACGUUGGGCGCUAGGUGUGGGGGGCCUCUCCGGUUUCCUGCGCCGCAGCUAACGCAUUAAGCGCCCCGCCUGGGGAGUACGGCCGCAAGGCUA
This 378-nucleotide ribosomal RNA is filed under the name uncultured bacterium. Its description in RNAcentral is "bacterial SSU rRNA". It matches the Rfam family "Bacterial small subunit ribosomal RNA", at positions 521 to 896 of the family's 1533-position model. The record is from RNAcentral.